ACUGUACUAAACUAACUAAAGUGGGGGAUAGUGAGGGGAUAAAUUUCCUUAAGGAACUCGGCAAAAUCCCAAUGGCCCACCAGGGCAUAUAUUGGAACACGGGCCUCGACUGUUUACCAAAAACAUAGCCCUCGGCCAAUAUGAAAAUAGAAGUAUGGAGGGUGAGGCCUGCCCAAUGGUUGUAUCUAAAAGCGGUUGAUAAAAGUCGACCGCGUAAGGACAAUUGAAUGGCCGCGGUAACACUGACCGUGAUAAUGUAGCGUAAUCAAUAGCCAAUUAAUUGUUGGCCAGUAUGAAUGGCGCCACGAAGGCCCCACUGUCUUAAGGAAAUUCCCAGUGAAAUUGAAUUCGUAGUGAAGAUGCUACGUCCAAUUUGUUAGACGAAAAGACCCCGUUGAGCUUUACUGGGGCACUUACACGGCCCCGGCCUUCAAGACUGGGUUGAUAAGCCAAGGCUUACCAUACCUAGGGACCGGCCGAAUUUAAAUGGGCGGUUUAGACUAUGUGGCAGCCCCCCCCGUCGGGGCAGAUGAAACCCCACUCCCCCAUGUCAAAGGGGCUAACCCCCCUCCUUGGGGGGGACAGUGUAAGUAGGACAGUUUGGUUGGGGCGACCGCCUUUUAGAGAGUAACGAAGGUGCGCUUAAGGUGCGUAAUUAAUGACUGAAGCCUGACUGCGAGGGGGACACCCCGAGCAGACACCCCCAAGCCCGCCCUCUGGGAGGGCGGCGGUGGGGUGGGCCAUAGUGACCCGUUAAUUUAGAGUGGAAUAGUUAACGAUCAACGAAUAAAAGUUACCACGGGGAUAACAGCGUAAUAUCGUUAGAGAGUUCACAUCGACGACGAUGUUUGCGACCUCGAUGUUGAAUUGCGG
RNAcentral lists this ribosomal RNA (873 nucleotides) under Parazoanthus aff. juan-fernandezii TDS-2010. RNAcentral's name for it is "Parazoanthus aff. juanfernandezii TDS-2010 partial 16S ribosomal RNA". It matches the Rfam family "Bacterial large subunit ribosomal RNA", at positions 1641 to 2542 of the family's 2925-position model. Lineage: Eukaryota; Metazoa; Cnidaria; Anthozoa; Zoantharia; Parazoanthidae. The record is from RNAcentral.